This 73-nucleotide transfer RNA is filed under the name Bythopirellula polymerisocia. RNAcentral describes it as "Planctomycetes bacterium Pla144 tRNA-Arg". The record is from RNAcentral. Lineage: Bacteria; Pseudomonadati; Planctomycetota; Planctomycetia; Pirellulales; Lacipirellulaceae.
AGCCUGUGAGUGUGGCGGAUUGCACGCGACUCUGCGGAGGUCGUAGGCCAGGUUCGACUCCUGGAUGGGCUAC